Molecule: ribosomal RNA, 219 nt
Filed under: uncultured bacterium
Lineage: Bacteria
Description: partial 16S ribosomal RNA
Rfam family: Bacterial small subunit ribosomal RNA
Source: RNAcentral
GCAAGUCGAACGCAUCCUUCGGGAUGAGUGGCAGACGGGUGAGUAACGCGUGGGAAUCUACCGAGCUCUACGGAACAACACAUAGAAAUGUGUGCUAAUACCGUAUACGCCCUUAGGGGGAAAGAUUUAUCGGAGAUAGAUGAGCCCGCGUUGGAUUGCUAGUUGGUGAGGUAAUGGCUCACCAAGGCGACGAUCUAUAGCUGGUCUGAGAGGAUGAUC